CCUACGGGUGGCAGCAGUGGGGAAUCUUGCGCAAUGGGCGAAAGCCUGCCGCAGCGACGCCGCGUGAGGGAUGAAGGUCUUCGGAUCGUAAACCUCUGUCAGCAGGGAAGAACGGUCACUGUGCUAAUCAGCAGUGAAUUGACGGUACCUGCAAAGGAAGCACCGGCUAACUCCGUGCCAGCAGCCGCGGUAAUACGGAGGGUGCGAGCGUUAAUCGGAAUUACUGGGCGUAAAGCGCUCGUAGGCGGUAUGUCAAGUCAAGGGUGAAAUCCCCGCGCUCAACGUGGGAACUGCCUUUGAAACUGGCAAACUGGAGUGUGUGAGAGGAUAGUGGAAUGCCAGGUGUAGGAGUGAAAGCCGUAGAUAUCUGGAGGAACAUCAGUGGCGAAGGCGACUAUCUGGCACAUAACUGACGCUGAGGAGCGAAAGCGUGGGUAGCAAACAGGAUUAGAUACCCUAGUAGUC
Molecule: ribosomal RNA, 465 nt
Filed under: uncultured bacterium
Lineage: Bacteria
Description: partial 16S ribosomal RNA
Rfam family: Bacterial small subunit ribosomal RNA
Source: RNAcentral